ACUGAACGGUGUAAGCCGACCUGAUCGGCCCAAGGACAUUCUCGCUCAAGACAGCCACAAUGGCUCUCUGCCAGCGUCGUCCUAGCACUAGGCAGCUGCCUACAAUUGCGGAGGCCUACUAUGGCGGUGGCCAUUUGUGACAGAAUCUGAUUGUAUUGCGCAGGAUCAGGGUGAACUGAAUAAAAAGUUGUGAAAGGAGAAUGGUUCUCCUGGCGCACCAAUGAGGUACCAGUGGGAACGAGCACACACUGCCUGCUGCCGUACUAAUCUCUUGGGGUCAUCCAAACAAGGUCCCAGCUCAUGAACAGUCUGUUAACAAAUAAAGGUGUUAGAAGAUGUACAAAAGCUGAAAAAAACAUUAAUACAUAAAUGCUAUUAAACAAAUUUAUGGGCUCAAUAUAGAUUUUAA
Long non-coding RNA from Zootermopsis nevadensis, 409 nucleotides. RefSeq lists it as uncharacterized. Lineage: Eukaryota; Metazoa; Arthropoda; Insecta; Blattodea; Termopsidae. The record is from RefSeq and is a predicted model, not a curated record.